RNAcentral lists this ribosomal RNA (442 nucleotides) under uncultured bacterium. Its description in RNAcentral is "partial 16S ribosomal RNA". It matches the Rfam family "Bacterial small subunit ribosomal RNA", at positions 338 to 795 of the family's 1533-position model. The record is from RNAcentral.
CCUACGGGAGGCAGCAGUGGGGAAUAUUGGGCAAUGGGCGCAAGCCUGACCCAGCAACGCCGCGUGAAGGAAGAAGGCUUUCGGGUUGUAAACUUCUUUUGUCAGGGAAGAGUAGAAGACGGUACCUGACGAAUAAGCCACGGCUAACUACGUGCCAGCAGCCGCGGUAAUACGUAGGUGGCAAGCGUUGUCCGGAUUUACUGGGUGUAAAGGGCGUGUAGCCGGGUUGACAAGUCAGAUGUGAAAUCCUGCGGCUUAACCGCAGAACUGCAUCUGAAACUGUAGAGCUUGAGUACUGGAGAGGCAGACGGAAUUCCUAGUGUAGCGGUGAAAUGCGUAGAUAUUAGGAGGAACACCAGUGGCGAAGGCGGUCUGCUGGACAGCAACUGACGGUGAGGCGCGAAAGCGUGGGGAGCAAACAGGAUUAGAUACCCCAGUAGUC